RNAcentral lists this ribosomal RNA (549 nucleotides) under uncultured bacterium. RNAcentral describes it as "bacterial SSU rRNA". It matches the Rfam family "Bacterial small subunit ribosomal RNA", at positions 81 to 647 of the family's 1533-position model. The record is from RNAcentral.
UGCCCUUAUAAGUAGUGGCGAACGGGUGCGUAACACGUGAGUAACCUGCCCCAUAGUUUGGAAUAACACCGGGAAACCGAUGCUAAUACCAAAUAUGCUCGCACUAGCACAAGCUAGAGCAAGGAAAGAUUUAUCGCUUUGGGAGGGGCUCGCGGCCUAUCAGCUUGUUGGUGAGGUAACGGCUCACCAAGGCUUCGACGGGUAGCUGGUCUGAGAGGACGAUCAGCCACACUGGGACUGAGACACGGCCCAGACUCCUACGGGAGGCAGCAGUGGGGAAUAUUGCGCAAUGGGCGAAAGCCUGACGCAGCAACGCCGCGUGGAGGAUGAAGGCUCUAGGGUCGUAAACUCCUUUCAGCAGGAAAGAAAAUGACGGUACCUGCAGAAGAAGCUCCGGCCAACUACGUGCCAGCAGCCGCGGUAAUACGUAGGGAGCAAGCGUUGUCCGGAUUUAUUGGGCGUAAAGAGCUCGCAGGCGGCUUAGAUAGUCGGAUGUUAAACCCCUAGGCUUAACCUAGGGCAGCCAUUCGAUACUACUAUGGCUAGAGU